This 507-nucleotide unclassified non-coding RNA is filed under the name Hevea brasiliensis (rubber tree). The record is from RNAcentral. Lineage: Eukaryota; Viridiplantae; Streptophyta; Magnoliopsida; Malpighiales; Euphorbiaceae.
UUUUUUUUUUUUUUUCUAAUUUUUGUGUAGAUAGCAGUUGAAGUCUCUGUUGCAGUUGCUCUGAUGUCAGACUUGAUAUUCCAGUCAAUUAUUUUUAAUUAUUAAAUUUCUUCAAUCAUUAAUUAUUAAAUCUUAUUUGCCAUUUUUUUUUUUCAAAUAAUAAGAAAAACCGAGUCCUAGUCUUAGCGGACUGGGUCUAAAAUGCACCGCGUAGUCAAGUGUGGUGUACACGGUACACCUACGCAUCCGUUCAAGGGUGGGUUGCAGAACCGCGUGAACGACGGAGAAGAGGAAGGGUUGCAGAGUUUGUUGGAGUUUCGGUUAAGACCACUUAGCGCAUGAGUCAUAACACCGCAAAAGAAAGUAGGGGAUGACGGUUUUAACUGUCUGGUACAUUUCGUAGCUAUGAUUAGGUUCACCGUUCAUGCGCAUGGUGCAUCUUAGCCAAUAAUUAAUAAAUAAAUAAAAUAGUAGAUGCGAUGAUAAUAAGCAAGAAGACGAGGAAGG